AUUGAACGCUGGCGGCAUGCUUUACACAUGCAAGUCGAACGGCAGUGCGGGCUUCGGCCUGGCGGCGAGUGGCGAACGGGUGAGUAAUACAUCGGAACGUGCCCAGUAGUGGGGGAUAGCUCGGCGAAAGCCGGAUUAAUACCGCAUACGACCUGAGGGUGAAAGCGGGGGAUCUUCGGACCUCGCGCUAUUGGAGCGGCCGAUGGCAGAUUAGCUAGUUGGUGGGGUAAAGGCCUACCAAGGCGACGAUCUGUAGCUGGUCUGAGAGGACGACCAGCCACACUGGGACUGAGACACGGCCCAGACUCCUACGGGAGGCAGCAGUGGGGAAUUUUGGACAAUGGGCGAAAGCCUGAUCCAGCAAUGCCGCGUGUGUGAUGAAGGCCUUCGGGUUGUAAAGCACUUUUGGCGGGAACGAAAAGGACUGUGCCAAUACCACGGUUCGAUGGCGGUACCCGCAGAAUAAGCACCGGCUAACUACGUG
This 484-nucleotide ribosomal RNA is filed under the name uncultured bacterium. Its description in RNAcentral is "partial 16S ribosomal RNA". It matches the Rfam family "Bacterial small subunit ribosomal RNA", at positions 29 to 507 of the family's 1533-position model. The record is from RNAcentral.